GAUGAACGCUGGCGGCGUGCCUAAUACAUGCAAGUCGAGCGAACGGACGAGAAGCUUGCUUCUCUGAUGUUAGCGGCGGACGGGUGAGUAACACGUGGAUAACCUACCUAUAAGACUGGGAUAACUUCGGGAAACCGGAGCUAAUACCGGAUAAUAUUUUGAACCGCAUGGUUCAAAAGUGAAAGACGGUCUUGCUGUCACUUAUAGAUGGAUCCGCGCUGCAUUAGCUAGUUGGUAAGGUAACGGCUUACCAAGGCAACGAUGCAUAGCCGACCUGAGAGGGUGAUCGGCCACACUGGAACUGAGACACGGUCCAGACUCCUACGGGAGGCAGCAGUAGGGAAUCUUCCGCAAUGGGCGAAAGCCUGACGGAGCAACGCCGCGUGAGUGAUGAAGGUCUUCGGAUCGUAAAACUCUGUUAUUAGGGAAGAACAUAUGUGUAAGUAACUGUGCACAUCUUGACGGUACCUAAUCAGAAAGCCACGGCUAACUACGUGCCAGCAGCCGCGGUAAUACGUAGGUGGCAAGCGUUAUCCGGAAUUAUUGGGCGUAAAGCGCGCGUAGGCGGUUUUUUAAGUCUGAUGUGAAAGCCCACGGCUCAACCGUGGAGGGUCAUUGGAAACUGGAAAACUUGAGUGCAGAAGAGGAAAGUGGAAUUCCAUGUGUAGCGGUGAAAUGCGCAGAGAUAUGGAGGAACACCAGUGGCGAAGGCGACUUUCUGGUCUGUAACUGACGCUGAUGUGCGAAAGCGUGGGGAUCAAACAGGAUUAGAUACCCUGGUAGUCCACGCCGUAAACGAUGAGUGCUAAGUGUUAGGGGGUUUCCGCCCCUUAGUGCUGCAGCUAACGCAUUAAGCACUCCGCCUGGGGAGUACGACCGCAAGGUUGAAACUCAAAGGAAUUGACGGGGACCCGCACAAGCGGUGGAGCAUGUGGUUUAAUUCGAAGCAACGCGAAGAACCUUACCAAAUCUUGACAUCCUUUGACAACUCUAGAGAUAGAGCCUUCCCCUUCGGGGGACAAAGUGACAGGUGGUGCAUGGUUGUCGUCAGCUCGUGUCGUGAGAUGUUGGGUUAAGUCCCGCAACGAGCGCAACCCUUAAGCUUAGUUGCCAUCAUUAAGUUGGGCACUCUAAGUUGACUGCCGGUGACAAACCGGAGGAAGGUGGGGAUGACGUCAAAUCAUCAUGCCCCUUAUGAUUUGGGCUACACAUGUGCUACAAUGGACAAUACAAAGGGCAGCGAAACCGCGAGGUCAAGCAAAUCCCAUAAAGUUGUUCUCAGUUCGGAUUGUAGUCUGCAACUCGACUACAUGAAGCUGGAAUCGCUAGUAAUCGUAGAUCAGCAUGCUACGGUGAAUACGUUCCCGGGUCU
RNAcentral lists this ribosomal RNA (1372 nucleotides) under uncultured bacterium. Its description in RNAcentral is "bacterial SSU rRNA". It matches the Rfam family "Bacterial small subunit ribosomal RNA", at positions 28 to 1381 of the family's 1533-position model. The record is from RNAcentral.